AUGGCCGCCUCGCUUCGCGUUCCUAGGAAACUAUGCAGUUUUUUGUUUUUUUUACGUGUUAUUUCUUACAUUGGUACCCCAGGUCAUCUUAGACUCCGGAGAAGGGCACAUCGCGCACCACUCCCUAGCAUACUUCUCGCCAAUGUCCAGUCUCUUGACAACAAGGUUGAUGAAAUCCGAGCAAGGGUAGCAUUCCAGAGGGACAUCAGAGACUGUAACGUUCUUUGCUUCACGGAAACAUGGCUCACUGGAGAGACGCUAUCGGAGUCGGUGCAGCCAGCUGGUUUCUCCACGCAUCGCGCCGACAGAAACAAACAUAUUUCUGGUAAGAAGAGGGGCGGGGGCGUAUGCUUUAUGGUUAACGAGAUGUGGUGUGGUCACAACAACAUACAGGAACUCAAUUCCUUCUGUUCACCUGAUUUAGAAUUCCUCACAAUCAAAUGUCGACCGCAUUAUCUACCAAGGGAAUUCUCUUCGAUUAUAAUCACAGCCGUAUAUAUUCCCCCCCAAGCAGACACAUCGAUGGCUCUGAACGAACUUUAUUUGACUCUUUGCAAACUGGAAUCCACAUAUCCUGAGGCUGCAUUCAUUGUAGCUGGGGAUUUUAACAAGGCUAAUCUGAAAACAAGACUCCCUAAAUUGUAUCAGCAUAUCGAUUGCGCAACCAGGGCUGGCAAAGCCUUGGAUCAUUGCUAUUCUAGCUUCGGUGACGCAUAUAAGGCCCUCUCCCGCUCUCCUUUCGGAAAAGCUGACCACGACUCCAUUUUGUUGCUCCCUGCGUACAAACAGAAACUAAAACAAGAAGCUCCCGCGCUGAGGUCUGUUCAACGCUGGUCCGACCAAUCUGAUUCCACACUCCAAGACUGCUUCCAUCACGUGGACUGGGAUAUGUUUCGUAUUGCGUCAGACAACAACAUUCACGAAUACGCUGAUUCGGUGAGCGAGUUCAUUAGAACGUGCGUUGAAGAUGUCGUUCCCAUAGCAACGAUUAAAACAUUCCCAAACCAGAAACCGUGGAUUGAUGGCAGCAUUUGCGUGAAACUGAAAGCGCGAACCACUGCUUUUAAUCAGGGCAAUGUGACCGGAAACAUGACCGAAUACAAACAGUGUAGCUAUUCCCUCCGCAAGGCAAUCAAACAAGCUAAGCGUCAAUAUAGAGACAAAGUAGAAUCGCAAUUCAACGGCUCAGACACAAGAGGUAUGUGGCAGGGUCUACAGUCAAUCACGGAUUACAAAAAGAAAACCAGCCCAGUCACGGACCAGGAUGCCUUGCUCCCAGGCAGACUAAAUAACUUUUUUGCCCACUUUGAGGACAAUACAGUGCCACUGACACGGCCCGCUACCAAAACAUGUGGACUCUCCUUCACUGCAGCCGAGGUGAGUAAAACAUUUAAACGUGUUAACCCUCGCAAGGCUGCAGGCCCAGACGGCAUCCCCAGCCGCGCCCUCAGAGCAUGCGCAGACCAGCUGGCUGGUGUGUUUAUGGACAUAUUCAAUCAAUCCCUAUCCCAGUCUGCUGUUCCCACACGCUUCAAGAGGGCCACCAUUGUUCCUGUUCCCAAGAAAGCUAAGGUAACUGAGCUAAACGACUACCGUAGCACUCACUUCCAUCAUCAUGAAGUGCUUUGA
This 1629-nucleotide long non-coding RNA is filed under the name Oncorhynchus mykiss (rainbow trout). RNAcentral's name for it is "lncRNA (ENSOMYG00000039704.2)". The record is from RNAcentral. Lineage: Eukaryota; Metazoa; Chordata; Actinopteri; Salmoniformes; Salmonidae.